This 29-nucleotide non-coding RNA is filed under the name Mus musculus (house mouse). The record is from RNAcentral. Lineage: Eukaryota; Metazoa; Chordata; Mammalia; Rodentia; Muridae.
UGUGUGUGCCAAAUUCAAGGAAAGCACGG